AUGAUAUUUAAUUGAUAAUAUGUUAUGUGAAAUAUGAUUAGACUAUAUGGUAGAGUCAAAGCAUGAUUAUGUGUUAAGUGAUAUUUGAUGAGUUUAAAGAGUUAUAUAAGUGGGUAUCGAUAUACGUGAUAUGUGUAUGCGAUAGGUUAUGCUACCGAGUUGAUAAGCAGAGAUAAGAAUCAAUAGAUUAUUUAGUGAUAAUGGUAGUAUCUUAUUCUCGUAAAGGGUUUGGACGAGACGGAUACGAUCGAAGACGUUCAGAAGGUCAAACGAUGUUACAAAGCGAAUAAGGAACGAAUCGAGUAAACGAAGCAGUGUGGCGAAUAGAGUAUAGCCAAAGAUGGUCUAGAGACUAUGAUAUGCAUAGAGUGUGAAAGUGGAAAGAUGAGAUUGAGAUAUGAGACUGGAAUCGGAUUUAAGAAAAGCUUAGAGUUGAAUUGAGAUUGCGAGUAUGGCUAAGGCUAAGCGAGGAGUCAGAGUUAUAGAAUAUCCAGAGGACAAGUGGAAUGUUCAGGGAGAUUGACAAGGUUGGUUCUAAAUAGAGUUGUAUUAUUGAGAUUCAGUUGUAAGUCAUAAUUGAGGUAGACUGGCAGUGAUUCUUCUUAUCGAAGAUGAUCUGAGUUUGUAAGAUAAUGUUUAUUAAUAGUGGUUGAUUCUAAUUUCAAUACUGUAACCUGGA
Molecule: long non-coding RNA, 679 nt
Organism: Daucus carota subsp. sativus
Lineage: Eukaryota; Viridiplantae; Streptophyta; Magnoliopsida; Apiales; Apiaceae
Exons: 2
Source: RefSeq, a predicted model, not a curated record